Molecule: RNA transcript, 1419 nt
Organism: Asparagus officinalis (garden asparagus)
Lineage: Eukaryota; Viridiplantae; Streptophyta; Magnoliopsida; Asparagales; Asparagaceae
Gene name: RRP15-like protein
Exons: 10
Source: RefSeq, a predicted model, not a curated record
CCGGCCCAUUACGAGCAGCAGUCGACUCUCUCACAAAACCCUCGUUCCUCCCCCUUUUUUCCGUCUCCCCUCGACGCCCAAGACCGCCGAUGACUGCAGAAAUCAAAUCUUUGGAAGCAGCAACAGCAGCGGUUACCUCAUUCUCCAAGAAGAGAAAGCUAAAGCAUGGAGGAGGCAAGGGAAAGAAAAAACCCAACAAGAAACUCAAACCCGUUGCAAAAACGAAAAACCCUAGCCAAAAGAUGAAGAAGCUCUUCAAGAAACGAGCCAAAGCCUACAACUCCGAUGAAUCCGAAGAAGAAUACGAGCAAGAGGAAGAAGAAGACAUUGCCGAUGAGCAAUCCAGUGAUGAGGAGGAACGAGAGGAGGAAGAGGAGAGGGAUAUCGAUGCCUCCGACGAAGAGGACGAUGGCUCUCGUUUGGGCAUUACUAAGUUCUCUGAAGGUUGCAGGGCUUUUCGAACGGCUUUCCUCAAGAUUAUGAAGAAGCAUCUCCCCAAUGAUCCGUUGGGCCCAGUCUUAUCUGCACACAAGAAGCUUAUUGCUAAUAAGCUACUGGAAGAGGAAACUGAGCAUAAGUCAAAGGGAGAGGCAAAGAAGGAAAAGCAUUUGGCAGGAGAGAAGGGUCAUGUAAAACCAGCAACUUUCCUAGACACGAAGGAAAAACUUCUAAUUAGCAUUGCUACAAAAGGAGUGGUUAAGUUGUUCAAUGCGGUCAAUAAGGCACAAAAUCCACAGAAAGACUUGAAUCCUUCGAGGUCUAAAGAUGCCAAAGAAUUGGCAAAACGGAGGAAACAGGCAUUUUUGUCGGAAAUCAAUAAGUCAGCAACAGAGAAAUCAGAUCAUGGAUUUUCCUUCUACUCUACGAAGGUUACUAAAUCUGCAAGUAAAGAAAACGAUGAUGAACCUGGAUGGGCUCCUUUACGUGAUAGUUACAUCCUUAACAAUUCAAAGUUGAAGGACUGGGAUAGAAUACCAGAUCCUGCUGCAGUAGAUGAUCAAGGAAAAAUAUCCUCGGACAGUUCUUCUGAUGAGGAUUGAUAAUUUGACGAUUAAAAAACUUUUGAGGAAUUUCUAGUGGCUCCGAGGAGGCAUCGUGAGUGGUAUUUCGAUUGUCUUUCGAGUUUGUGAGACUUGGGAUUAGGUGGAAUUGAGGAUUUGCCAAAUUCUUAGAACGAAGCAAAGAAUAAUUCGAGAUUGUUAUUGUCUUCUAGGUGAAGGUUAAAUAAAGUCUUUAAUGUUUAGUUGAUGAAUUGAGAGUUUGUAAUAAUGAGAUUCUUUCUUUAGGUUGAGAUUUAUUUGGAGUUGAGGAAUAUUUAUUUUUAUCAAGUUAAUUGGCUUAGUUUGACUUUUGGGAUUAAAGAGAAUUUUUAUUGUUGGUUUUAGUUCAAUGAAGAGAUUUGUUUUAGUGCUCUUUUAA